Long non-coding RNA from Raphanus sativus (radish), 872 nucleotides. RefSeq lists it as uncharacterized. Lineage: Eukaryota; Viridiplantae; Streptophyta; Magnoliopsida; Brassicales; Brassicaceae. The record is from RefSeq and is a predicted model, not a curated record. The transcript is spliced from 2 exons.
UGUAAAAAAAUGUCAAAUCAUGAGUUAAGAACCCCGACUAAGAAACUAGGGUUAAUCAUGCUCUUAGUUUUGCUUAUAAGCUAUGACUAAUGCUCAUUUUUAUUACAUAAUAGAUCUGUUCGUUUGGUUGCUGCAGCUAUCUGCGUCGGCGUUGGCGGCAAUUUUUUCCGUGACUCUUGUUCGUUUGAUUGACGCUGGUAGCUGCGUCUUGACGCUGCGUUUAGAUGCUGCGUCUGGCAUCAAAAAAAAUUGGACGCGGAUAAAACUCGCGGUCGUGUCAAAUUUUCUGCGUUUAUUUACCUAAUUACGUUUUUGCCCUUAAAAAAAUUCAUUAUUUACGUAAAAUACCUAACCCUAAUAGACCGAGACGCUCUCUCCAUCUCAAGCCUUCUCUCCAUCUCAAGCUCUCUCUCCAUCUCUCUCGAAUAUCUCCCUCUCCAUCGCUCUCGAAUCUCUCCCUCUCCAUCACGAGGCCUUCGACACAAACCCAUCUUAAGCUCUCUCUCUCUCUCGAUCUCCAAAGCAUCUCUCUGUUCUCCGACAAACCCCAUUCUCUUUGAGGUCAUAGUCACAUUCUCUGUUUGACACUGAUAGUGAUGGUCACUGUUCUAAUUGAUGGUCUCUCAAGCUCAGACUCUCUCAAGCUCAGACCCUCUCAAGCUCAGACUGCUGCUGUUCUCGAGGUCUGUUGUGAUAGUCUAGAUGUUUGAAUGGUUCAAGCUUGCUCGGACAACCAUUGUUCCUCUCCAGCUUGCUCAGACUAUGUGAUCUUUUCUCAUUAUUCUCUUGUUGUACAAAGAAACUUGUCAUUGUAUUGGAAAAUCUGUAUCAAAGAACACAAUUUUGUUUCAAAUCUCAUCUAUUUCCUUUUA